AUUGAACGCUGGCGGAAUGCUUUACACAUGCAAGUCGAACGGCAGCACGGGUGCUUGCACCUGGUGGCGAGUGGCGAACGGGUGAGUAAUACAUCGGAACGUACCCAGUCGUGGGGGAUAACGUAGCGAAAGUUACGCUAAUACCGCAUACGUCCUGAGGGAGAAAGCGGGGGACCGUAAGGCCUCGCGCGAUUGGAGCGGCCGAUGGCGGAUUAGCUAGUUGGUGGGGUAAAGGCCUACCAAGGCGACGAUCCGUAGCGGGUCUGAGAGGACGGCCCGCCACAGUGGGGCUGAGACACGUGCCAGACUCCUACGGGAGGCAGCGGUGGUGAAUUGUGGACAAUGGGCGAAAGCCUGAUCCAGCCAUUCCGCGUGAGUGAAGAAGGCUUUCGGGUUGUAAAGCUCUUUCGGCAGGGAAGAAACGGCUUGGGAUAAUACCCCGGGCUAAUGACGGUACCUGAAGAAGAAGCACCGGCUAACUACGUGCCAGCCGCCGCCGUAA
This 502-nucleotide ribosomal RNA is filed under the name uncultured bacterium. RNAcentral's name for it is "partial 16S ribosomal RNA". It matches the Rfam family "Bacterial small subunit ribosomal RNA", at positions 29 to 523 of the family's 1533-position model. The record is from RNAcentral.